RNAcentral lists this transfer RNA (62 nucleotides) under Dipodomys ordii (Ord's kangaroo rat). It matches the Rfam family "tRNA", at positions 1 to 61 of the family's 71-position model. Rfam says of the family: Transfer RNA (tRNA) molecules are approximately 80 nucleotides in length. Their secondary structure includes four short double-helical elements and three loops (D, anti-codon, and T loops). Lineage: Eukaryota; Metazoa; Chordata; Mammalia; Rodentia; Heteromyidae. The record is from Rfam by way of RNAcentral.
GGGAAUGUGGCUUAGUGGUAGAGUGCUUGCCUAGCAAGCAUGAAGCUCUGGGUUCAAUUCCA